UUUCUUUUCUUUUUUUUUUAAUCUUUGACUUUGUGCUUUUAGUGUCAGUCCUCCGAGUAUUUCUACUGUUUGCUUCUGAUUUACACAGCUUUUCUAGCAUCAUUGUUAUCCAAUUUGAAGUAAUUCUUGCUUUCUCUUUUUACAAAAGCCCUUAAUGUUUGCAGUGUUUGCUGCUGAUAUCUUUCUUCAUCUUCAUACCCAGGCAUAAGCAGCAGCUUCAUGGCUGCAGGGGUUCAAACACCAUCUCACUAUUAUCUUUAUAUUAUAAAAAUUUAGUUUUUCAGUCAAAAGAGGCAGGAAGGUCAUAAAAUGUUAAUCCUUUAACUAGGUUUCCAUGCGCCUAACCAAUGCUUGUAGUUUAUUGAAGAGUUUACAGUAUCUGUGAUUACUUCGUUUGCAUAGAAACUGUAACUGCUCUUAGGGAGUCGUCAGUAAAGACUUCGGUUUCUGUGCCCCUCUGAUAACUGCCAAGGAGGAAAGAGGGAGCAUUUUGUUAUGAAAGCUUUUUUCUCUUUGCUCAAAGUUGAGUCGGUGUUAGAAGUAUAUUUUCAUAUAUAUUCUUAUAUACUUUUGUUUGAAAAGUUCUGGUAUAAAUAACUUUGUUUCUUCCCCCAGAAUGGCUGGUUUUUGUGCAGUACUUGUUGUGAACAUCUCUUCUGUGAGAAAGCCCGGAGUGUUUGUGCUGUUGGCGGUGGGAAGCACCAGCUCUGCAGCUGGCUGUGCAGCGGGUUUGUUUUAAUGUGGAAGUGGAUCUCAGAGCUUAAUGCAAAAAAAACAAACAAAGAUCCAGGAAUUCCAGGUGUGGCCUUGCCAGGGCUGAGUUAGAGGAGAAGGAUCACCUCCCUCAACCUGCCGGCAGCAUUCCUCCAACUGCAGCAGGGAUCCCACACUACCAUCUGACCACAGUGAUUUAUCUCUGCAUGUGAACCUAUGGAGGGCAACAGUUUUGUGGUGAAAUAG
Non-coding RNA from Meleagris gallopavo (turkey), 960 nucleotides. The record is from RefSeq and is a predicted model, not a curated record. Lineage: Eukaryota; Metazoa; Chordata; Aves; Galliformes; Phasianidae.